RNAcentral lists this small RNA (950 nucleotides) under Pongo abelii (Sumatran orangutan). RNAcentral describes it as "processed transcript". The record is from RNAcentral. Lineage: Eukaryota; Metazoa; Chordata; Mammalia; Primates; Hominidae.
GCCGGGCAGCCUCUCUCAGCUCCUCGCCCACCCCGCGCACCCCGCGGGCGGCGCCCCCCCCGCUUCGCCUCCCUCGCCGUCUCCCUGGAGGGGCGGUCAUCAGGGGACGCCAUGCAGGCUGGAGCCCCUCUGGGCUCAGGCGUUAAACCAGCCACCGCCUCCGCCCCACUUCCUCCGGCUCCGCUUCCCUCGCCUUCCCGCUCCGUCUGAGGAUGUGGGAAUCCGCCCGCGCCCCAGCCCCCUCCGUGGCUGCGGACCCCUCUCCCACCCAGUGACCUCCUGGCCCACUUCCUUGCCCGGAGGGGCCUGGGUUGGCAUUCGGCUCCCGCGUGCCCCACAGCUCGUCCCCGCCCCCCUAGCCUGUUUCCCGUACGGUUCAUUCUGCCAGGACGCCCCGUCGCGAGAGGGCCUGGCGGAGGUGACAGUAAGGGGGUGCUAAUGCUGCUCCUUCGUCCCUUUCUUUCACUUCAGUUCUUUCAUUUCAAACUUUUCAUAAAGUCUUCACUAUUGCUCACUUACAACAAAAGCCCAAAUCGGUUAUAGCGGUGAUUUUUAUCACUCUCCCGGUGAGCUGCAGAAGACUUCAUCUGGCAUCCUGAUGCCGCAGGGGCCCCCAGAGAGCAGAUGGGGCUGGCGAGGGCCUGGCACGGGGCUGCAUAGUGCCUGGAGUCACCAGCACCUACAGACGGAUCCCUGACGCUGCCCACGGGUGCUCAUCCUGGGAGAGAGGUGACAAGCUCAGAGGUGUCGGCAGGGAGGCACUGUUUCUCAAACUGGCCUCCCAGGACUCAGGAGUGGAGAUGGCAGUUGGGGACAGCCCCCUGGCCACCUUACCGGGCCUUUCUCAGGACUCCCUGGACUUUGAAUCCUCAGGGAGUUCUGAGCCCCCAGCCCAGGUAGGCCGACUCCUGGCCAGCCAGAAGCUGGGGCAGGUGCUGGAGCGGUCCCGC